Molecule: small nuclear RNA, 336 nt
Filed under: Panthera tigris altaica (Amur tiger)
Lineage: Eukaryota; Metazoa; Chordata; Mammalia; Carnivora; Felidae
Description: 7SK RNA (ENSPTIG00000004563.1)
Rfam family: 7SK RNA
About the family: 7SK was discovered as an abundant small nuclear RNA in the mid-70s but a possible function has only recently been suggested. Two independent studies have found that 7SK RNA binds the CDK9/cyclin T complex (known as elongation factor P-TEFb). P-TEFb activates transcription by phosphorylating the C-terminal domain of RNA polymerase II.
Source: Rfam by way of RNAcentral
UGAUGGGAGGCCGAUCUGACUGGAACAUCUGUCACCCUAUUGAUCGCCAGGGUUGUCUGGCUGAACCGGCUAGCCAGACAUGUGUCCCCUUCCUCUCACCCCGCUUCAUGUGCAUCCCUCCCCAAGCUGCAUGCUAGGCUUGGUCAAAGAGGAUCACCUUCCCUGAUGGAGAAGGACAGUUCUUUGGUCAAGGGUAUACAGGUAAGCCGCACUCCCCUGCCAAAACCUCCAAAUAAGCUCUCAAGGUUCAUUUAUAGGACAACAUAGGAUAAUUAAGCUUCCAAGAUUCCAGACACAUCCCAAUGAGGCACCACAUGUGGCAAUCUGCCUUUCUUU